UGUGUGUAAAUGUUGACAUUUGUAUUAACUAGGAUUAAGAAGUGCUAUUGAAGCAUUGUUUAUUGUUAGCUUGCGUUAAUCAGCAAACAAAUCAUACAAUUGUAAUCCAUGUAAUACUAUUCUGUGUAUGAACUGUGACCAAAGGAUUUUAUGUAGUAUUUCCAAAUGCUGAAAACAAGCUACACUCAGUUUAAGACAAAUAAAUAGUAAAUAAAUGCAACACCUAUGCAGCUUUAUUUUUUUAUACUCAGUUUAAUACUAAAAACCAAUUCACAGUGUGUAUAUGUGUGUGUGUGUGUGUGUGUGUGUGUGCAGGUAUUGAAGGUUUGCGUUUACCACAAUGAGCUUUUCAUUCUCAUUGUGUGUUUUAAUACUGCUAUUAGGUGAGUGUUUUACAUCUCUGAAGACACAUUUGUGGCCUAAUUAUGCAAAAUAUAUUCAAAUAUCACAUCAUAAAUAUAUUCACGUCUUACUAUAUUGUCUUGUGACUAUAUUGUCUAUGCUUUUCUUUUAGGUGAAACCAUUAAUGGACAAACAUCAGACCCUUGCAAAACGUACAAUGUGCUGGAGAACCGCUGGAGAGCCACCAACAAUCUGUAUUCUUCUGAAAUAAUGUGUGACUGUGAGGUGAACUGGAACGGCUGGUACCGUCUGCUUUAUGAAGGUCAGAGUGUUCAGAUGCCAGACACAUGUGUUGAUGAGUAUAGCUGCGGCACUCAUGCUCCACUGUGGCUGAGUGGAGGACAUCCAAAAGUCGAGGAUGGAGUAGUCACUCGAGAUGUCUGCGGGCACUAUGAAAAUGACUGCUGCUCCUUUAAAUCCAAUGCUAUUCAAGUCAAAGCCUGUCCGGGAGAUUAUUUUGUCUACGAGCUAGUGAAACCUUCCUUCUGCUUUCUGGCAUACUGUGCAGGUAAAUAUACUGACUUUUUUUGUUUUUGUUUACGUAGGUCUUAAUUUCAUCUCAAUUCAUGGCCUUUUUUUCUCCCACCUCAGAUGUUAGGAACAUCAACACCAGCAACACCAUUACAACUGUGGUUCCUCCUGUUGAUCCCUGCACCAGUUACCAUGCCCUGGAUAACCCGUGGAGAGCCACCAGUAAUCAAUAUUCCUUUGAAAUAAUGUGCGACUGUGAGGUUAACUGGGACGGCUGGUACCGUCUCUUCAUUAAUGGUCAGAGUGUUCAGAUGCCAGACACAUGUGUUGAUGAGCACAGUUGCGGCACUCAUGCUCCACUGUGGCUGAGCGGAGGACAUCCAACACUUGAGGAUGGAGUGGUCUCUCGAGAUGUCUGCGGUCAAUGGAGCAACAACUGCUGCUAUUUCCAGUCCAAUCCCAUUCAAGUCAAAGCCUGUCCUGGAGGUUUUUAUGUCUAUGAGUUUGUGAAACCAGAGUUCUGCUCUUUGGCAUAUUGUGCAGAUGUAAGGAACAUAAACACUACAUAUACUACUGCCAAUCCAAACACUAUGUUUACCACAGAAACAACAACCAUGGACAUAAUAACUGAAUACGCCACUUCAGAAACAACACCAAUAGAAAGCCAAGUGACAGAAAGCACCACAACUGGAGAAAGUGUGACAGUCAGUCAAGCUGCAACAGGUGAAAAGGCGAUCACAGGUGCCACAACAACAAAAAGUGCCACUAUGGACAUGACAGCAAGCGAAAAUAUGACAACAAUGACUACAACUUCAGAAUCUACAACAACAACAGCACAAAGAACAGAAAGCAGCACAACUCCAGGAAGCACAAGAACUUCAGACAGUACCACAAUAGCUGAAACCCCAGUGGCUACAACACCUGCGACUACAGGAGCAGAAAGCAUGACAAGAGAGGAAAGCACAACUACAAAUAGUAUGACAAUAAGCACAACAACUCCUGAAAGCACCACAACUGAGACCACAACAACCGAAAGCACCACAACUGGCACCACAACUCCAGAAAGUACCACAACUGAGACCACAACAACCGAAAGCACCACAACUGGCACCACAACUCCAGAAAGCACCACAACUGAGACCACAACAACCGAAAGCACCACAACUGGCACCACAACUCCAGAAAGCACCACAACUGAGACCACAACAACAGAAAUCACCACAACAGGCACCACAACUCCAGAAAGCACCACAACUGAGACCACAACAACCGAAAGCACCACAACUGGCACCACAACUCCAGGAAGUACCACAACUGAGACCACAACAACCGAAAGCACCACAACAACCGAAAGCACCACAACUGGCACUACAACUCCAGAAAGUACCACAACUGAGACCACAACAACCGAAAGCACCACAACUGGCACCACAACUCCAGAAAGUACCACAACAGAGACCACAACAACCGAAAGCACCACAACUGGCACCACAACAACCGAAACCACCACAACUGGCACCACAACAACCGAAAGCACCACAACUGGCACCACAACUCCAGAAAGCACCACAAAUGAGACCACAACAACCGAAAGCACCACAACUGGCACCACAACUCCAGAAAGCACCACAACUGAGACCACAACAACCGAAAGCACCACAACUGGCACCACAACUCCAGAAAGCACCACAACUGAAACCACAACAACAGAAAGCACCACAACUGGCACCACAACUCCAGAAAGUACCACAACUGAGACCACAACAACCGAAAGCACCACAACUGACACCACAACUCCAGAAAGCACCACAACUGGCACCACAACAACCGAAAGCACUACAACUGGCACCACAACAACCGAAAGCACCACAACUGGCACCACAACUCCAGCAAGUACCACAACUGACACCACAACAACCGAAAGCACCACAACUGACACCACAACUCCAGAAAGCACCACAACUGAGACCACAACAACAGAAAGCACCACAACUGGCACCACAACUCCAGAAAGCACCACAACAGGCACCACAACAACCGAAAGCACCACAACUGGCACCACAACUCCAGAAAGCACCACAACUGAAACUACAACAACAGAAAGCACCACAACUGAGACCACAACAACCGAAAGCAUCACAACUGGCACCAAAACUCCAGAAAGUACCACAACUGAGACCACAACAACCGAAAGCACCACAACUGGCACCACAACUCCAGAAAGUAAAACAACUGAAACCACAACAACCGAAAGCACCACAACUGGCACCACAACAACCGAAAGCACCACAACUGGCACCACAACUCUAGAAAGUACCACGACUGAGACCACAACAACCGAAAGCACCACAACUGGCACCACAACUCCAGAAAGCACCACAACUGAGACCACAACAACAGAAAGCACCACAACUGGCACCACAACUCCAGAAAGUACCACAACUGAGACCACAACAACCGAAAGCACCACAACUGGCACCACAACUCCAGAAAGCACCACAACUGGCACCACAACAACCGAAAGCACCACAACAACCGAAAGCACCACAACUGGCACCACAACUCCAGAAAGCACCACAACUGAGACCACAACAACUGAAAGCACCACAACUGGCACCACAACAACCGAAAGCACCACAACUCCAGAAAGUACCACAACUGAGACCACAACAACCGAAAGCACCACAACUGGCACCACAACUCCAGAAAGUACCACAACUGAGACCACAACAACCGAAAGCACCACAACUGGCACCACAACUCCAGAAAGCACCACAACUGAGACCACAACAACAGAAAGCACCACAACUGGCACCACAACUCCACCACAACAACAGAAAGCACCACAACUGGCACCACAACAACCGAAAGCACCACAACUGGCACCACAACAACCGAAAGCACCACAACUGGCACCACAACUCCAGAAAGCACCACAACUGGCACCACAACAACCGAAAGCAACUCCAGAAAGUACCACAACUGAGACCACAACAACCGAAAGCACCACAACUGGCACCACAACAACCGAAAGCACCACAACUGGCACCACAACUCCAGAAAGUACCACAACUGAGACCACAACAACCGAAAGCACCACAACUGGCACAACAACAACCGAAAGCACCACAACUGGCACCACAACUCCAGAAAGCACCACAACUGAGACCACAACAACUGAAAGCACCACAACUGGCACCACAACAACUGAAAGCACCACAACUGGCACCACAACUCCAGAAAGUACCACAACUGAGACCACAACUCCAGAAAGCACCACAACUGGCACCACAACUCCAGAAAGCACCACAACUGGCACCACAACUCCAGAAAGCACCACAACUGAGACCACAACAACUGAAAGCACCACAACUGGCACCACAACUCCAGAAAGCACCACAACUGGCACCACAACAACUGAGAGCACAACAGCUGGCACCGCAACUCUAGAAAGUACCACGACUAAGACCAUAACAACCGAAACCACUACCAAUAGCACCAGCGUUUAAGUAAGUGUUUAAGCAUAAUCACAACUUAGUGCACCAGAGUCAUAAAAGGCAGCACCACUGACACAAUUGGCUUCUUUUUUCUGUU
Long non-coding RNA from Danio rerio (zebrafish), 4467 nucleotides. Lineage: Eukaryota; Metazoa; Chordata; Actinopteri; Cypriniformes; Danionidae. The record is from Ensembl.